CGGGAAUAGAUAAGCGCUGAAAGCAUCUAAGUGCGAAACUAGCCACGAGAUGAGACUUCCUCAUAAGGGCCGUAGGAGAUGACUACGUCGAUAGGCUAUAGGUGUAGAGGUGGAAACACCACAGCCGAGUAGUACUAAUAGCCCGAAGCUUUCCA
This 155-nucleotide ribosomal RNA is filed under the name Sphingobacterium pedocola. Its description in RNAcentral is "Sphingobacterium sp. Ka21 partial 23S ribosomal RNA". It matches the Rfam family "Bacterial large subunit ribosomal RNA", at positions 2755 to 2925 of the family's 2925-position model. The record is from RNAcentral. Lineage: Bacteria; Pseudomonadati; Bacteroidota; Sphingobacteriia; Sphingobacteriales; Sphingobacteriaceae.